This 253-nucleotide ribosomal RNA is filed under the name uncultured bacterium. RNAcentral's name for it is "partial 16S ribosomal RNA". It matches the Rfam family "Bacterial small subunit ribosomal RNA", at positions 524 to 776 of the family's 1533-position model. The record is from RNAcentral.
UACGGAAGGUGCAAGCGUUAAGCGGAAUUAUUGGGCGUAAAGCGCGCGUAGGCGGCUACCUAAGUCGGAUGUGAAAGCCCCUGGCUUAACUGGGGAAGUGCACCCGAAACUGGGUAGCUAGAGUGCAAAAGAGGGUCGCGGAAUUCCCGGUGUAGAGGUGAAAUUCGUAGAUAUCGGGAGGAACACCGGUGGCGAAGGCGGCGACCUGGGUUGACACUGACGCUGAGGCGCGAAAGCGUGGGGAGCAAACAGG